RNAcentral lists this ribosomal RNA (404 nucleotides) under Fusobacteriota bacterium. Its description in RNAcentral is "Fusobacteria bacterium partial 16S ribosomal RNA". It matches the Rfam family "Bacterial small subunit ribosomal RNA", at positions 355 to 776 of the family's 1533-position model. The record is from RNAcentral. Lineage: Bacteria; Fusobacteriati; Fusobacteriota.
UGGGGAAUAUUGCACAAUGGAGGGAACUCUGAUGCAGCGACGCCGCGUGAGUGAUGAAGGAAUUCGUUUCGUAAAACUCUGUUCUAUGGGAAGAAAAGGACUGUACCAUAGGAGAAAGCUCCGGCUAAAUACGUGCCAGCAGCCGCGGUAAUACGUAUGGAGCGAGCGUUGUCCGGAAUUAUUGGGCGUAAAGGUUGCGCAGGCGGCUUUACAAGUUGGAUGUGAAAUAUUGUGGCUCAACCACAAACGUGCAUCCAAAACUGCAAAGCUUGAGUUAAGGAGAGGUAAGUGGAAUUCCUGGUGUAGCGGUGGAAUGCGUAGAUAUCAGGAGGAAUACCGGUGGCGAAGGCGACUUACUGGACUUAAACUGACGCUCAGGCACGAAAGCGUGGGGAGCAAACAGG